This 627-nucleotide long non-coding RNA is filed under the name Nicotiana benthamiana. Its description in RNAcentral is "long non-coding RNA (NBEN_LNC016044)". Lineage: Eukaryota; Viridiplantae; Streptophyta; Magnoliopsida; Solanales; Solanaceae. The record is from RNAcentral.
GCAAUAUUCAGAAAAAUUAUAUAAUACAUCUGAAUACAUAAAUUAUAUUAGUUAAAAAAAAUAUGAAUAUUUUCGUAGAAUACAACAAGACAGUGAAUACAAUGAAAUACAUGAAAUACAACGAGAUGCAUUGAAAUAAAAUUAAAAGGAGAGACAAUAAAUACAUUAAAAUAGAUGAAAAUAAUGCGAAAUACAUUAAAAUAUAUUAACAGAAAAUUCAAGUUGCUCAGCCCCAAACUUCGUCGUCUCCAUUCCUCUCUUUCUGCACCUACUGUUCGUUCCCUUUUCUUGGAGUGGCGACUGGAGGUUGUUAAUGGAAUGAGCUGCUAUCAUCUUUCUUUUUGGAAUUCAAGGAUGAUGAUCCUCUCUUAGAAAGGUAGGCGAAUGAUCAGGUUUGUGAGAAGUGGAGUGCUGGGCGUUCUUGGAGAAGGGGAAUGGAAGGAGGUUGUUGCUCUCUCAAGAAGGAUGAGAUCUAUCCUCCAUUAAAAGAAUGAAAACGAGAUGUGGCUGCUGGUGGGUGAGAGAUAGGGGAUGGACAGCUUUUUUAGGGGUCCUCAGCUAAAGCUUUUGGUUAGAGACAGGAGAAAUUUGAGUGGAGAGAGAAAAAUAAUACAAAGCUUAUUUUAU